AUUGAACGCUGGCGGCAGGCUUAACACAUGCAAGUCGAACGGUAACAUAAAGAAGCUUGCUUCUUUGAUGACGAGUGGCGGACGGGUGAGUAAUGCUUGGGAAUCUAGCUUAUGGAGGGGGAUAACUACGGGAAACUGUAGCUAAUACCGCGUAGAAUCGAGAGAUGAAAGUGUGGGACCUUCGGGCCACAUGCCAUAGGAUGAGCCCAAGUGGGAUUAGGUAGUUGGUGAGGUAAAGGCUCACCAAGCCGACGAUCUCUAGCUGGUCUGAGAGGAUGACCAGCCACACUGGGACUGAGACACGGCCCAGACUCCUACGGGAGGCAGCAGUGGGGAAUAUUGCGCAAUGGGGGCAACCCUGACGCAGCCAUGCCGCGUGAAUGAAGAAGGCCUUCGGGUUGUAAAGUUCUUUCGGUAGCGAGGAAGGCAUUUAGUUUAAUAGACUAGAUGAUUGACGUUAACUACAGAAGAAGCACCGGCUAACUCCGUGCCAGCAGCCGCGGUAAUACGGAGGGUGCGAGCGUUAAUCGGAAUAACUGGGCGUAAAGGGCACGCAGGCGGUGACUUAAGUGAGGUGUGAAAGCCCCGGGCUUAACCUGGGAAUUGCAUUUCAUACUGGGUCGCUAGAGUACUUUAGGGAGGGGUAGAAUUCCACGUGUAGCGGUGAAAUGCGUAGAGAUGUGGAGGAAUACCGAAGGCGAAGGCAGCCCCUUGGGAAUGUACUGACGCUCAUGUGCGAAAGCGUGGGGAGCAAACAGG
This 759-nucleotide ribosomal RNA is filed under the name Parahaemophilus parainfluenzae. RNAcentral describes it as "Haemophilus parainfluenzae bacterial SSU rRNA". It matches the Rfam family "Bacterial small subunit ribosomal RNA", at positions 28 to 776 of the family's 1533-position model. The record is from RNAcentral. Lineage: Bacteria; Pseudomonadati; Pseudomonadota; Gammaproteobacteria; Pasteurellales; Pasteurellaceae.